AUGUGCUCAAGCUUCGUGUCCGGCUCGUCAGCCAGAGCCUCCGGUGCGUGCAGAUCGUCGGGUCCUUCAUCGAAGAGAUCUUCGUGUUGGACGCCCCACGCCUUAGAGCGGUUCAUCCAUUCGGAGGCCUGGAAUCCUGCUGGCAACUGCACCACCACGGUGAAGAUCGGCCAUGCCCCCAAGCUGCACUUGUUGGGAUACUUGGCGUUGGACCCACGAAAGCAUGUCUUAGACGUCGGCAACACCAUCAUCAAGGCUGGGACAGGGAUGAGCCCAAGCACCAUGCUACCAGUUGUGAAAAUCCUGGCUUUGAAGGUGCGUUUCGCAGUCCGCAAUGAUGUCAAGAUGAUCCCCAAUGUCCUCAGAUGCUUUCCAAAUGUUGAGACGCUCCACAUCAUGUCUGGAAAAACUGAUCAAUCCACUGGCAAGGCCAACCUGAAGUUCUCGCUCGAGUCUGGUACCAUAGAAUGCAUAGAGUCGCGCAUCAAGCUGCUGGUUUUCCAUGGUUUCCAAGGGGAUCGAAGCGAGCUCGGCUUCCUCAAGUUCUUCUUCGAGAGCGCCUUGGUGCUGGAGGAGGUGGUGGUUGGUUCUGUUGGCCGCUGA
This 603-nucleotide ribosomal RNA is filed under the name Triticum aestivum (bread wheat). Its description in RNAcentral is "partial small subunit ribosomal RNA". The record is from RNAcentral. Lineage: Eukaryota; Viridiplantae; Streptophyta; Magnoliopsida; Poales; Poaceae.